GAAAUGCGAUAAGUAAUGUGAAUUGCAGAAUUCAGUGAAUCAUCGAAUCUUUGAACGCACAUUGCGCCCGCUAGUAUUCUGGCGGGCAUGCCUGUUCGAGCGUCAUUUCAACCAUCAAGCCCUAGGCUUGUGUUGGGGCCCUGCGGCCGUCCGCAGCCCCCUAAAAACAGUGGCGGGCUCGCUAUAAACCGAGUGCAGUAGUUUACUCUUCGCUCAGGUCUCGUAGUGGGUUCUUGCCGUAAAACACCCCAUUUUCUCAGAAAAAAACCAAAAAUCUUGGAAUUAUUUAUCAAUUGUCCUCAGCCGAGUGAGAUUACCCGCUGAACUUAA
RNAcentral lists this unclassified non-coding RNA (330 nucleotides) under uncultured Sordariales. RNAcentral describes it as "sequence contains ITS1". The stretch from base 1 to 105 matches the Rfam family "5.8S ribosomal RNA", at positions 50 to 154 of the family's 154-position model. Lineage: Eukaryota; Fungi; Ascomycota; Sordariomycetes; Sordariales. The record is from RNAcentral.